UUGGGUUAUUUUGUGCAACUCAUGUGUUGAGUCAAAAUCCAUCAACCCAACAUACAUCGGUUGACCCAGCACUUGGGUUGUUUGUGCUUCGAACGUCAUCAGAUCAUCACCAGAGUCCACACACCGAGCGCUUGUCACAGCAGAGAACCAGUCUGGUCUUCCAACGAGGCAAAUACAUAAUAAAAGAUCAAUGGAUAGCUUUGUCAUUAACACUAUGACAGAGUGCCAGACCUUGUCGAAAGAUUUAAAAGCUUCCACGUAAUAUGUCAAAGUGACUCCAAUAGAUGAAUAGAGCCGGCCACUGGAUUCCUGGAGGAAAGGCUGCGGAACGUCAGGAAGCGGCUGAGAUCAACCAGCAG
Molecule: long non-coding RNA, 359 nt
Organism: Perca flavescens (yellow perch)
Lineage: Eukaryota; Metazoa; Chordata; Actinopteri; Perciformes; Percidae
Exons: 3
Source: RefSeq, a predicted model, not a curated record